GACGAACGCUGGCGGCGCGCCUAACACAUGCAAGUCGAGCGAGAACCGGAGCUUCGGCUCCGGGGACAGCGGCGAACGGGUGAGUAACACGUGGAUAACCUGCCCUCGGCACCGGAAUAGCCCGGGGAAACCCGGAUUAAUGCCGGAUAGCCCCACAUCCCUGCGGGGAACGUGGGAAAAGGUAGCUUCGGCCUCUGGCCGAGGAUGGGUCCGCGGUGGAUUAGCUUGUUGGCGGGGUAACGGCCCACCAAGGCGACGAUCCAUAGCUGGUCUGAGAGGACGAUCAGCCACACUGGGACUGAGACACGGCCCAGACUCCUACGGGAGGCAGCAGUGGGGAAUCUUGCGCAAUGGGCGAAAGCCUGACGCAGCGACGCCGCGUGCGGGAAGAAGGCCU
RNAcentral lists this ribosomal RNA (397 nucleotides) under uncultured bacterium. RNAcentral's name for it is "bacterial SSU rRNA". It matches the Rfam family "Bacterial small subunit ribosomal RNA", at positions 28 to 417 of the family's 1533-position model. The record is from RNAcentral.